GGGACUGAUUUGGGUUCGACGGGAAUAGGAGGUACUAAACUGCAAGUCGAAGGUACGCGUUAAGUACAAACAAAAAUUAAAUGGAAAUAAAUUAAAAAAUGCAUUCACUUCAUUAUUCGCUAAGAAUGAUGUUGUAUUUGCCUAAUUAAUAGGGGAUGCAACUUUCUUUAAAAUUUUGCCUGUGAGUUUUUUAGAGAGUUCGAUUUAGCAGGAUAUAUUAUUAUUUAGCAUAGAAGUAAUAAUGAAUUUUAUAUGCUUACUAAAUAAUUAGUUGUCAGUUACUAUAAUUAUUUAGGAAUUUAAUUAAUUGACUAAACUUGUAGAUGUUUUUUACUAAAUAUUUUUGGACAGGGGUUCAAUUCCCCUCAGUUCCACCA
RNAcentral lists this transfer-messenger RNA (377 nucleotides) under human gut metagenome. It matches the Rfam family "transfer-messenger RNA". Rfam says of the family: Bacterial tmRNA, also known as 10Sa RNA or SsrA, is named for its dual tRNA and mRNA-like properties. Its role is to liberate the mRNA from a stalled ribosome. To accomplish this part of the tmRNA is used as a reading frame that ends in a translation stop signal. The record is from RNAcentral.